AUUUUAUACCAUAAUUAAAGCUGUCAUAAUAAAAAUCUUUCUUGGCCAGGGACCAAUCACACCGGAAAUGAAGACCAAGCAAUAUUAAUAGCAUGGCAGAACGGUCUUGAAUUUCAGUCUUAUUAACAUAAUGGCAGCAGAGCUGAUACUACCUUCUGGUUUUGCAUGUCAUUUUUAAUUUCAAUUCAUUUGUGGCUUUUGCAAUAGUAUAAUUUUUGAAAAAUAGUAACACAUGUUCUUAUAAAACAGUCCAAGAAUAAGCUAAUGAGCCUAGGAAUAGUAGAACUGUACUGUGUAGAUACUUCAUAGCUGAGCAUAACUUUUAAGAGGUAUCUUAGUGAUGUCCAGUUUGUCUUCAUCUGAGUGCAUUGCUGCUUGGGAAGGACUGAGUUAAUACCGGGCACUUCUGUAUGACUGCAUGGAAAUGUAAAAGGGUUUCUGUGGGAUCUGCUGUUUCCAAAGCAUCUCCAGGUUUCCUUUACAUUUCGUCAGCCGUGGUUACUGGAUCCUUCGCCACACGGUGCUGGGCCACGUGAAGGAGCAACUCUAAGGAAAAUGCAACUGCUCUCUGCAUCAUCCUGCUGUAGGAAUGGCACAAGGAACACAUGUAGGCUUUAGGCUUAAGCUCUUCGUCGAGUAGUUAUGUCAAAAGUGGAGAAAGCACAAAAGAAACUUUCCAAAACAAGAGAGGGAAUUAGAAAGGUGUCUCACAGUGAUUUUGUUCUCUUCUUGAAAGCUGUGGAAUCAUCAACUUCAAAAUGAAUCAAGAUUGCUUUUAAUGCAGAGGUCUUUCAGCAAGACUUCAGGUCUGGCAUGACAUGCUCAACGCUGCUCUCCAGGGGAGAUAUCACAACCUCCUGUGGUCCAUCCUGGUAAGGAGCUCACAAAGAUUAAGGAAGGGAGAUGCUUCUUUGUAGAUGGACUUGUGCUGCGUGAGCUAAAUCGGUUAAUAGAUGCUAUGAUAAUUUAUUACAAGCUGUUUGUUUGUUUUUUCCCAUAUGCACAAUAGUAUAUUGUAAAGCAAUUGGUCAUAUCAGAUGAAGUUAUAACAUGACAAGAUGGAUCAUUUAAUAUAUCAAAUGAUACUGCUAUGUGUACUGUUGUAUCCAAAAUAUAUAUUAAAGAAAG
This 1128-nucleotide long non-coding RNA is filed under the name Meleagris gallopavo (turkey). RNAcentral describes it as "lncRNA (ENSMGAG00000019735.1)". Lineage: Eukaryota; Metazoa; Chordata; Aves; Galliformes; Phasianidae. The record is from RNAcentral.